This 253-nucleotide ribosomal RNA is filed under the name uncultured bacterium. Its description in RNAcentral is "partial 16S ribosomal RNA". It matches the Rfam family "Bacterial small subunit ribosomal RNA", at positions 524 to 776 of the family's 1533-position model. The record is from RNAcentral.
GACAGAGGGUGCAAACGUUGUUCGGAAUUACUGGGCGUAAAGCGCGUGUAGGCGGCAGGGUAUGUCGGAUGUGAAAUCCCGUGGCUCAACCACGGAAGUGCACCCAAAACCACCCAGCUAGAGUCUCGGAGAGGAAGGCGGAAUGCUUGGUGUAGAGGUGAAAUUCGUAGAUAUCAAGCGGAACACCGGUGGCGAAGGCGGCCUUCUGGACGAUGACUGACGCUGAGACGCGAAAGCGUGGGGAGCAAACAGG